This 266-nucleotide long non-coding RNA is filed under the name Lathyrus oleraceus (garden pea). RNAcentral's name for it is "Pisum sativum (pea) long non-coding RNA (PSAT_LNC005054)". Lineage: Eukaryota; Viridiplantae; Streptophyta; Magnoliopsida; Fabales; Fabaceae. The record is from RNAcentral.
AAGAAAUAUGUUCAAUGGGUAAUAACAAGUUAUGAGUAAUAUGAGGUGAUCAUGCUAGAGUAAAUAAGAGAAACAUGAAUCCUAAAGCGAUAAGAGGAUGAAAUAAUAUAAACUCUUAAUGAGAUAUACACUUUGUAUUAGGGAGUACCUAGGCUACAAAAGUACUCUUGAUAGACUCACAUAUGAGAUUGUGGAACUUAGGUUGGUUCCUAUGGAAUUUUGAGGCAGAAUACCUAGAGCCUUCACUAAACUGGGGUACACGUGAG